GGAAAAAUUUAUUGCUAUUAGAUGAGCCUAUAUUAGAUUAGCUAGUUGGUGGAGUAAUAGCCUACCAAGGCAAUGAUCUAUAGCUGAUCUGAGAGGAUGAUCAGCCACACUGGAACUGAGAUACGGUCCAGACUCCUACGGGAGGCAGCAGUGGGGAAUAUUGGACAAUGGGCGAAAGCCUGAUCCAGCCAUGCCGCAUGAGUGAAGAAGGCCUUUGGGUUGUAAAGCUCUUUUAGUGAGGAAGAUAAUGACGGUACUCACAGAAGAAGUCCUGGCUAACUCCGUGCCAGCAGCCGCGGUAAUACGGAGAGGGCUAGCGUUAUUCGGAAUUAUUGGGCGUAAAGGGCGCGUAGGCUGAUUAAUAAGUUAAAAGUGAAAUCCCGAGGCUUAACCUUGGAAUUGCUUUUAAAACUAUUAAUCUAGAGAUUGAAAGAGGAUAGAGGAAUUCCUGAUGUAGAGGUAAAAUUCGUAAAUAUUAGGAGGAACACCAGUGGCGAAGGCGUCUAUCUGGUUCAAAUCUGACGCUGAAGCGCGAAGGCGUGGGGAGCAAACAGGAUUAGAUACCCUGGUAGUCCACGCUGUAAACGAUGAAUGUUAAAUAUGGGAAGUUUACUU
This 615-nucleotide ribosomal RNA is filed under the name Wolbachia endosymbiont of Bemisia tabaci. RNAcentral's name for it is "bacterial SSU rRNA". It matches the Rfam family "Bacterial small subunit ribosomal RNA", at positions 201 to 839 of the family's 1533-position model. Lineage: Bacteria; Pseudomonadati; Pseudomonadota; Alphaproteobacteria; Rickettsiales; Anaplasmataceae. The record is from RNAcentral.